Molecule: ribosomal RNA, 322 nt
Filed under: Trichoplusia ni (cabbage looper)
Lineage: Eukaryota; Metazoa; Arthropoda; Insecta; Lepidoptera; Noctuidae
Description: SSU rRNA
Rfam family: Eukaryotic small subunit ribosomal RNA
Source: RNAcentral
CUAAAUAGGCGUCGUCAUUUAGGUGUGCGUGGCUACGCGUCACGCAACUCACUGGCGACGUAUUAAAAUUCUUCUUAGAGGGACCGGCGGCUUCGAGCCGCACGAGAUUGAGCAAUAACAGGUCUGUGAUGCCCUUAGAUGUCCUGGGCCGCACGCGCGCUACACUGAAGGAAUCAGCAUGUUCUCCCUGGCCUAGAGGCCCGGGCAACCCGCUGAAACUCCUUCGUGCUGGGGAUUGGGGUUUGCAAUUAUCCCCCAUAAACGAGGAAUUCCUAGUAAGCGCGAGUCAUAAGCUCGCGUUGAUUACGUCCCUGCCCUUUGU